This 2429-nucleotide long non-coding RNA is filed under the name Astyanax mexicanus (Mexican tetra). RNAcentral describes it as "lncRNA (ENSAMXG00005009749.1)". The record is from RNAcentral. Lineage: Eukaryota; Metazoa; Chordata; Actinopteri; Characiformes; Acestrorhamphidae.
GUGAUCAGGAACAGAAAUUACAGGAAGAGAAUAGAGAACAGAGCGCGGAGACUGCAGAUAUAUCAGCGCCGUUCGCGCAGAAAUAGAGGGAUUGACCUCAGUGUUCCAAUACUUUUGAAGGUCAGUGAUGGAGUUCUGCAGAUCUGCUCUCUGGGUCCUGAUCUUAUUGAUCAUCAGUUCUGGAUCUGAAUCAGCUGCUCCUGUAGUGAAGGUGGAGUAUAAUGGUACGGCUGUUCUGCCCUGUAUUGAGAGAUGUUCUGGAGUGGCCAGCUGGACUCUCACUCAUAAAUCCACUGAUAUUCUGGCUGAGUGUGAUCAGACUUCCUGCAGAUCAGUGAAGGAGGGAUAUCAGAUGAUCCAUGAUAAAUACCUGAAGGGAGAUUUCUCUCUGAUCAUCACUGAAGCUGAUUACAGUAAGAAAGGACAUUACACCUGUGACUGUGAUGAUACAGAUAAGUGUGAUGCAGAGCUUCAGAUUGAGGCUCUGAGGACUUCAGUUCAGAUAAAGCCUGGUGAUACUCUGGUGAUGGAUGUGGACGAAUCAGUUCCAGUGGAAGUGAUUUAUCAAUGUACAAGAGAAGCUGGAACAUCCAAUGUUCAGAUCUGUAGAGUGAUUGGAAAAUUACUGCAGCCUAGUGCUGAAUACACUAACAGAACAUCACUGUCAUCAUCUACUCUGGAGCUGAGAGGAGUGAACGUGUCUGAUAGUGGAGAUUACAUCAUCCGAGACAUCAGGAAUAAAGAGGAUCUUCAUAUCUACACAGUGGAAGUUACAGAUGAUUCUAAACAUCCUCAGAUUCAGGAGAAAGAGGAAACACCUAUAUCAGAUGCUCAAGAGAGUAUGAAGAUUGUGUCUCUGGUGGUGUUUAGUGUAGGAGCUCUGAUUGUGGCAGUAGUGGGGGUGGUUCUGCUGUUCAAGAAAAACAUGUUGUGUUUCAAGAAGUCAGCCAAGUUAUCUACCUUCACCUACAAAGUAGAUUCCUGUAAUGAACAGAACAUCUACAGUCCAGAGAAAUCACCACUCAAUCACCAGCAGGUCUAAGAUCACAAUCAUCCCCCUGUUCUCCAGUGUGAGUGUGUGUGUGUGUGUGUGUGUUUGUGUGUGUCUGAGUGUGUGUCUGUGUAAAUGUGUGUGUGUAUCUGUGUGUAUCUCUGUGUAAAGGUGUGUUAGCGUGAGUUUUAGGGGUUGUGUGUGUGUCCCCGUGUACAUUUUUUGUGUUAGUGUGUGUGUGUGUGUGUAUGUGGGUGUUUUAGUGUGUGUGUGUUUGUGUGUGUGUGUGUGUGUGUGUGCUGUUAUUUUACUGAGCUUUAUUGUAGAUCAGUUAUAUCUGCAGCUCUUUUCUGUUCUUACUGAGUUCCAGUGGGUACAGAAAGUACUCAGAACCCUUUAAAUGUUUCAUUGCAGCCGUUUGCUAAAAUCCAAAAGUUAAUUUUAUUUCUCAUUAAUGUACACUCAGCACCUCAUUCUGACAGAAAAAAAACAGAAAUGUAGAAAUGUAUUUCUUAAAAAAACAUCUUAAAAUAAGUAAAAUAAGUAUUCAGACCAUUUGUUCAGUAUUAAGUAGAAGCACUCUUUUAAGCCAUGAGUCCUCUUGGGACUGAUGCAAAAAGUUUUUCACACCUGGAUUUGGGGAUCUGAUCUGCUGCCAUUCCUCCUUGCAGAUUCUCUCCAGUUCUGUCCGGUUGAAUGAACGUUGGUGGACAGAUAUUUUCAUGUCUUUUAUCCAAAGAUGCUGAGUUGGGUUUAGGUCUGGGCUCUGGCUGGGCCAGUCAGGAAUGGUCACUGAGUUGUUCUGAAGCCACUUUGUUAUUUUAGUUGUGCUUUGGUUCAUCAUCUUGUUGGAAGCUGAAACUUCAGCCCAGUCUGAGGUCCAGAGCAGAAUAUUUCUGUACACGGCCGCAUUUAUCUUUCCUUCAAAUGCAACCAGUCGUCCUGUCCCUGCUGCUGAAAAGCACCCCAUAGCAUGAUGCUGCCACCAUCAUGUUUCACAGUUGGGAUUGUAUUGUAUUACUUUCUCCACACUUACUUAGAAUUAACACCAAAAAUAAUUCAAUCUUCGUCUCAUCAGACCAGAGAAUCAUAUUUCUCAUUCUCUUGGAGUCCUUCAUGUGUUUUAUCAUAUGUCCUGCACUGAGGAGUCUAGGAAGAGUUCUGGUUGUCUCAAACUUUUUCAUUUAAGGAUUAUGGAGCCACUGUGCUCUCAGGAACCUCGAGUUCUGCAGAAACUCUUCUGUAACCUUGGUCAGAUCUGUUCCUCACCACAGUUCUGUCUCUGAGAUUAUUAGGCAGUUCCUUCCUUCAAACUCAUUAGUCUGAUUGGCUCUGAGCUGCACUGUGAGCUCUUAUAUAGACAGGUGUGUUCCUGAACUAAUCAGGUCCAUUCACUUUAAUCAAUAAACACAGCUGGACUCCAAUGAAGGAGUAGAAC